This 1002-nucleotide ribosomal RNA is filed under the name Archaeperidinium minutum. RNAcentral's name for it is "LSU rRNA". It matches the Rfam family "Eukaryotic large subunit ribosomal RNA", at positions 85 to 1297 of the family's 3401-position model. The record is from RNAcentral. Lineage: Eukaryota; Dinophyceae; Peridiniales; Amphidiniopsidaceae.
AAUGGCGAAUGAACAGGGGUAAGCUCAGCAUUAAAAUUGGGGCGGCCUUGAAUUGUAGCCUCGAGAUGUACAACUAACAGGGGUGCAGGUGUAAGCCUCCUGGAAAGGAGCGCCGGCGAGGGUGAGAGCCCCGCGCGUCUUCUGCAGCCCCCUGUGCACAGUGUACUUUCCAAGAGUCACGUUCCUCGGGAUUGGAGCGCAAAGUGGGUGGUAAAUUUCAUCUAAAGCUGAAUAUGGGUCCGAGACUGAUAGCAAACAAGUACCCUGAGGGAAAGAUGAAAAGGACUUUGAAAAGAGAGUUAAAAGAGCCUGCCAUUGCUGAAAGGGAAGCGAACGAUACCAGUGUGACUUGGCGGGAUUGCCUCACAUUACCCGUCUUGAAACACGGACCAAGGAGUCUAACAUAUGUGGGAGUUCGCGGGUUUCUAAUCCUGUUUGCGCAAUGAAAGUGACUGCUGGGAUUACUGCACCAGCAACCGACCAAUCAACUGCGAGAGGUUUGAGUGUGAGCAUGUCUGUUAGGACCCGAAAGAUGGUGAACUAUGCCUGUGAAGGGCAAACUCAGGGGAAACUCUGAUGGAGGCUCGUAGCGAUACUGACGUGCAAAUCGUUCGUCAUACAUGGGUAUGGGGGCGAAAGACUAAUCGAACCAUCUAGUAGCUGGUUCCCUCCGAAGUUUCCCUCAGGAUAGCUGGAGUUGAUCAGUUUUAUCAGGUAAAGCGAAUGAUUAGAGGAAUCGGGGACGCGUUGUCCUCGACCUAUUCUCAAACUUUAAAUGGGUAAGAUCCAGUGGUUACUUGGGUGAACUUCUGGGAUACAUGACAACUCUAAGUGGGCCAUUUUUGGUAAGCAGAACUGGCGAUGAGGGAUGAACCUAACGUUGGGUUAAGGUGCUUAACUGCUCGCUCAUCAGAUACCAUAAAGGGUGUUGGUUCAUUUUAACAGCAGGACGGUGGUCAUGGAAGUCGAAAUCCGCUAAGGAGUGUGUAACAACUCACCUGC